Molecule: transfer RNA, 74 nt
Filed under: Verrucomicrobia bacterium ADurb.Bin063
Lineage: Bacteria; Pseudomonadati; Verrucomicrobiota
Also listed under: 17 other names
Description: tRNA-Gly
Rfam family: tRNA
About the family: Transfer RNA (tRNA) molecules are approximately 80 nucleotides in length.
Source: RNAcentral
GCGGGUGUGGUUCAGUGGUAGAAUGCGGGCUUCCCAAGCCUGAGAUGAGGGUUCGAUUCCCUUCACCCGCUCCA